RNAcentral lists this ribosomal RNA (505 nucleotides) under uncultured Streptococcus sp. RNAcentral describes it as "bacterial SSU rRNA". It matches the Rfam family "Bacterial small subunit ribosomal RNA", at positions 8 to 495 of the family's 1533-position model. The record is from RNAcentral. Lineage: Bacteria; Bacillati; Bacillota; Bacilli; Lactobacillales; Streptococcaceae.
AGAGUUUGAUCCUGGCUCAGGACGAACGCUGGCGGCGUGCCUAAUACAUGCAAGUAGAACGCUGAAGAGAGGAGCUUGCUCUUCUUGGAUGAGUUGCGAACGGGUGAGUAACGCGUAGGUAACCUGCCUUGUAGCGGGGGAUAACUAUUGGAAACGAUAGCUAAUACCGCAUAACAAUGGAUGACACAUGUCAUUUAUUUGAAAGGGGCAAUUGCUCCACUACAAGAUGGACCUGCGUUGUAUUAGCUAGUAGGUGAGGUAACGGCUCACCUAAGCGACGAUACAUAGCCGACCUGAGAGGGUGAUCGGCCACACUGGGACUGAGACACGGCCCAGACUCCUACGGGAGGCAGCAGUAGGGAAUCUUCGGCAAUGGGGGCAACCCUGACCGAGCAACGCCGCGUGAGUGAAGAAGGUUUUCGGAUCGUAAAGCUCUGUUGUAAGUCAAGAACGAGUGUGAGAGUGGAAAGUUCACACUGUGACGGUAGCUUACCAGAAAGGGACG